This 459-nucleotide ribosomal RNA is filed under the name uncultured bacterium. Its description in RNAcentral is "partial 16S ribosomal RNA". It matches the Rfam family "Bacterial small subunit ribosomal RNA", at positions 338 to 795 of the family's 1533-position model. The record is from RNAcentral.
CCUACGGGAGGCUGCAGUGAGGAAUAUUGGUCAAUGGGCGGGAGCCUGAACCAGCCAAGCCGCGUGAGGGAAGAAGGUACAGCGUAUCGUAAACCUCUUUUGUCAGGGAACAAAGGCGGGGACUAGUCCCCGGAUGAGGGUACCUGUAGAAACAGCAUCGGCUCACUCCGUGCCAGCAGCCGCGGUAAUACGGGUGUUGCGAGAUUUAUCCGGAUUUAUUGGGUUGAAAGGGUGAGCAGGCGGCCUGUUAAGUCAGCGGUAAAAGCCCGGGGGUCAACCCCGGCGAGCCGUUGAAACUGGCGGGCUGGAGUGGGAGAGAAGUACGCGGAAUGCGCGGUGUAGCGGUGAAAUGCUUAGAUAUCGCGCAGAACCCCGAUUGCGAAGGCAGCGUACCGGCUCCACACUGACGCUGAGGCACGAAAGCGUGGGUAUCGAACAGGAUUAGAUACCCGUGUAGUC